GGGGCUCUAUAUGAAAGAUCCUACUCCUGAAACGAGCUAAUAAAAUCUAUCAUCCCGUCUUCUCAUAUACGUCCUGAAAAUUGCAUCGAAAGUCUAGCAUACACAUACAUCUAUGUUUCAUCUCCUGUACAGUGAUUGCUAGGAACAGAUCCCAAAGUUGUUCAGCAAUCCAGCAGUGCAAUAGUAGCAUCUGUUACACAUUGCAAAACCUCUUCUUAAAUAUAAGCGUGUCAAAGUCCAAAAACCCAAAUCCAACUCCGAUCCAUGUAGUCAAAGCAAAAUGCUUAUUGAAUUUGUUUAGUUGGCUAAUCAGGCACCUGUAACUAGUUCUGUUCAAUUUUUUGAUUAUGUCUGCUCUUUAGUGAUAGGACAAGAGGGGUUGCUCUAAUGGUAAGCAACCCCCACUUCCAACCAAGAGGUUGUGAGUUCGA
This 431-nucleotide long non-coding RNA is filed under the name Nicotiana benthamiana. RNAcentral's name for it is "long non-coding RNA (NBEN_LNC009810)". Lineage: Eukaryota; Viridiplantae; Streptophyta; Magnoliopsida; Solanales; Solanaceae. The record is from RNAcentral.